This 55-nucleotide ribosomal RNA is filed under the name Dictyosphaerium ehrenbergianum. Its description in RNAcentral is "partial 28S ribosomal RNA". Lineage: Eukaryota; Viridiplantae; Chlorophyta; Trebouxiophyceae; Chlorellales; Chlorellaceae. The record is from RNAcentral.
UCGACCUGAGCUCAGGCAAGAUUACCCGCUGAACUUAAGCAUAUCAAUAAGCGGA